Molecule: small nucleolar RNA, 107 nt
Organism: Coffea arabica (coffee)
Lineage: Eukaryota; Viridiplantae; Streptophyta; Magnoliopsida; Gentianales; Rubiaceae
Source: RefSeq, a predicted model, not a curated record
AGUCCAUGGUGUGGAUAUUUUCAAAACAAAUCUCUAAACCUUUUGCAUACUUCAUAUAAUGAUUCAUCAUCCAAUUGACUAAAACUAGUAAUAUCCAUUCUAACCUU